This 2894-nucleotide ribosomal RNA is filed under the name Enterobacter cloacae. RNAcentral describes it as "bacterial LSU rRNA". It matches the Rfam family "Bacterial large subunit ribosomal RNA". Lineage: Bacteria; Pseudomonadati; Pseudomonadota; Gammaproteobacteria; Enterobacterales; Enterobacteriaceae. The record is from RNAcentral.
ACUAAGCGUACACGGUGGAUGCCCUGGCAGUCAGAGGCGAUGAAGGACGUGCUAAUCUGCGAAAAGCGCCGGCGAGGUGAUAUGAACCUUUGACCCGGCGAUGUCCGAAUGGGGAAACCCAGUGUGAUUCGUCACACUAUCGUUAACUGAAUACAUAGGUUAACGAGGCGAACCGGGGGAACUGAAACAUCUAAGUACCCCGAGGAAAAGAAAUCAACCGAGAUUCCCCCAGUAGCGGCGAGCGAACGGGGAGCAGCCCAGAGUCUGAAUCAGCUUGUGUGUUAGUGGAACGGUCUGGAAAGUCCGACGGUACAGGGUGAUAGUCCCGUACACGAAAAUGCACAGGUUGUGAACUCGAAGAGUAGGGCGGGACACGUGGUAUCCUGUCUGAAUAUGGGGGGACCAUCCUCCAAGGCUAAAUACUCCUGACUGACCGAUAGUGAACCAGUACCGUGAGGGAAAGGCGAAAAGAACCCCGGCGAGGGGAGUGAAAAAGAACCUGAAACCGUGUACGUACAAGCAGUGGGAGCACCUUCGUGGUGUGACUGCGUACCUUUUGUAUAAUGGGUCAGCGACUUAUAUUCUGUAGCAAGGUUAACCGUAUAGGGGAGCCGAAGGGAAACCGAGUCUUAACUGGGCGUUAAGUUGCAGGGUAUAGACCCGAAACCCGGUGAUCUAGCCAUGGGCAGGUUGAAGGUUGGGUAACACUAACUGGAGGACCGAACCGACUAAUGUUGAAAAAUUAGCGGAUGACUUGUGGCUGGGGGUGAAAGGCCAAUCAAACCGGGAGAUAGCUGGUUCUCCCCGAAAGCUAUUUAGGUAGCGCCUCGUGAACUCAUCUUCGGGGGUAGAGCACUGUUUCGGCUAGGGGGCCAUCCCGGCUUACCAACCCGAUGCAAACUACGAAUACCGAAGAAUGUUAUCACGGGAGACACACGGCGGGUGCUAACGUCCGUCGUGAAGAGGGAAACAACCCAGACCGCCAGCUAAGGUCCCAAAGUCAUGGUUAAGUGGGAAACGAUGUGGGAAGGCCCAGACAGCCAGGAUGUUGGCUUAGAAGCAGCCAUCAUUUAAAGAAAGCGUAAUAGCUCACUGGUCGAGUCGGCCUGCGCGGAAGAUGUAACGGGGCUAAACCAUGCACCGAAGCUGCGGCAGCGACACUAUGUGUUGUUGGGUAGGGGAGCGUUCUGUAAGCCGUUGAAGGUGGCCUGUGAGGGUUGCUGGAGGUAUCAGAAGUGCGAAUGCUGACAUAAGUAACGAUAAAGCGGGUGAAAAGCCCGCUCGCCGGAAGACCAAGGGUUCCUGUCCAACGUUAAUCGGGGCAGGGUGAGUCGACCCCUAAGGCGAGGCCGAAAGGCGUAGUCGAUGGGAAACAGGUUAAUAUUCCUGUACUUGGUGUUACUGCGAAGGGGGGACGGAGAAGGCUAUGUUAGCCGGGCGACGGUUGUCCCGGUUUAAGCAUGUAGGCGGAACGAUUAGGUAAAUCCGGUCGUUUUUUAACGCUGAGGUGUGAUGACGAGGCACUACGGUGCUGAAGUAACAAAUGCCCUGCUUCCAGGAAAAGCCUCUAAGCAUCAGGUAACAUCAAAUCGUACCCCAAACCGACACAGGUGGUCAGGUAGAGAAUACCAAGGCGCUUGAGAGAACUCGGGUGAAGGAACUAGGCAAAAUGGUGCCGUAACUUCGGGAGAAGGCACGCUGAUAUGUAGGUGAAGCCCCUGCGGGUGGAGCUGAAAUCAGUCGAAGAUACCAGCUGGCUGCAACUGUUUAUUAAAAACACAGCACUGUGCAAACACGAAAGUGGACGUAUACGGUGUGACGCCUGCCCGGUGCCGGAAGGUUAAUUGAUGGGGUUAGCGGUAACGCGAAGCUCUUGAUCGAAGCCCCGGUAAACGGCGGCCGUAACUAUAACGGUCCUAAGGUAGCGAAAUUCCUUGUCGGGUAAGUUCCGACCUGCACGAAUGGCGUAAUGAUGGCCAGGCUGUCUCCACCCGAGACUCAGUGAAAUUGAACUCGCUGUGAAGAUGCAGUGUACCCGCGGCAAGACGGAAAGACCCCGUGAACCUUUACUAUAGCUUGACACUGAACACUGGUCCUUGAUGUGUAGGAUAGGUGGGAGGCUUUGAAGUGUGGACGCCAGUCUGCAUGGAGCCGUCCUUGAAAUACCACCCUUUAAUGGCUGGUGUUCUAACGUAGACCCGUAAUCCGGGUUGCGGACAGUGUCUGGUGGGUAGUUUGACUGGGGCGGUCUCCUCCCAAAGAGUAACGGAGGAGCACGAAGGUUAGCUAAUCCUGGUCGGACAUCAGGAGGUUAGUGCAAUGGCAUAAGCUAGCUUGACUGCGAGAGUGACGGCUCGAGCAGGUGCGAAAGCAGGUCAUAGUGAUCCGGUGGUUCUGAAUGGAAGGGCCAUCGCUCAACGGAUAAAAGGUACUCCGGGGAUAACAGGCUGAUACCGCCCAAGAGUUCAUAUCGACGGCGGUGUUUGGCACCUCGAUGUCGGCUCAUCACAUCCUGGGGCUGAAGUAGGUCCCAAGGGUAUGGCUGUUCGCCAUUUAAAGUGGUACGCGAGCUGGGUUUAGAACGUCGUGAGACAGUUCGGUCCCUAUCUGCCGUGGGCGCUGGAGAAUUGAGGGGGGCUGCUCCUAGUACGAGAGGACCGGAGUGGACGCAUCACUGGUGUUCGGGUUGUCAUGCCAAUGGCACUGCCCGGUAGCUAAAUGCGGAAGAGAUAAGUGCUGAAAGCAUCUAAGCACGAAACUUGCCCCGAGAUGAGUUCUCCCUGAGCCUUUAAGGCUCCUGAAGGAACGUUGAAGACGACGACGUUGAUAGGUCGGGUGUGUAAGCGCAGCGAUGCGUUGAGCUAACCGAUACUAAUGAACCGUGAGGCUUAACC